AGGACGAACGCUGGCGGCGUGCUUAACACAUGCAAGUCGAGCGAGGCCCGUUCCUUCGGGAACGGUGCCCUAGCGGCGAACGGGUGAGUAACACGUGGGCAACCUGCCUCUAGCACUGGGAUAACUCCGGGAAAACCGGGGCUAAUACCGGAUACGACCUCUGAGGGCAUCCUCCGGAGGUGGAAAGCAUUGUGGCUAGAGAUGGGCCCGCGGCCUAUCAGCUUGUUGGUGGGGUAACGGCCCACCAAGGCGACGACGGGUA
RNAcentral lists this ribosomal RNA (262 nucleotides) under uncultured bacterium. Its description in RNAcentral is "partial small subunit ribosomal RNA". It matches the Rfam family "Bacterial small subunit ribosomal RNA", at positions 26 to 285 of the family's 1533-position model. The record is from RNAcentral.